UCCUUUAAAGAAAGCGUAAUAGCUCACUGGUCUAGUGAUUUUGCGCGGAAAAUAUAACGGGGCUAAAGUAAGUACCGAAGCUGUAGACUUAGUUUACUAAGUGGUAGGAGAGCGUUCUAUUUGCGUCGAAGGUAUACCGGUAAGGAGUGCUGGAGCGAAUAGAAGUGAGCAUGCAGGCAUGAGUAGCGAUAAUUAAUGUGAGAAUCAUUAACGCCGUAAACCCAAGGUUUCCUACGCGAUGCUCGUCAUCGUAGGGUUAGUCGGGUCCUAAGUCGAGUCCGAAAGGGGUAGACGAUGGCAAAUUGGUUAAUAUUCCAAUACCAACAUUAGUGUGCGAUGGAAGGACGCUUAGGGCUAAGGGGGCUAGCGGAUGGAAGUGCUAGUCUAAGGUCGUAGGAGGUUAUACAGGCAAAUCCGUAUAACAAUACUCCGAGAACUGAAAGGCUUUUUGAAGUCUUCGGAUGGAUAGAAGAACCCCUGAUGCCGUCGAGCCAAGAAAAGUUUCUAAGUUUAGCUAAUGUUGCCCGUACCGUAAACCGACACAGGUGGGUGGGAUGAGUAUUCUAAGGCGCGUGGAAGAACUCUCUUUAAGGAACUCUGCAAAAUAGCACCGUAUCUUCGGUAUAAGGUGUGGUUAGCUUUGUAUUAGGAUUUACUCCGAAAGCAAGGAAACUUACAACAAAGAGUCCCUCCCGACUGUUUACCAAAAACACAGCACUCUGCUAACUCGUAAGAGGAUGUAUAGGGUGUGACGCCUGCCCGGUGCUCGAAGGUUAAUUGAUGGGGUUAGCAUUAGCGAAGCUCUUGAUCGAAGCCCGAGUAAACGGCG
RNAcentral lists this ribosomal RNA (829 nucleotides) under Salmonella enterica subsp. enterica serovar Reading. RNAcentral's name for it is "partial 23S ribosomal RNA". It matches the Rfam family "Bacterial large subunit ribosomal RNA", at positions 1119 to 1932 of the family's 2925-position model. Lineage: Bacteria; Pseudomonadati; Pseudomonadota; Gammaproteobacteria; Enterobacterales; Enterobacteriaceae. The record is from RNAcentral.